CCCUUAGAUGUUCUGGGCCGCACGCGCGCUACACUGAUGCGUUCAACGAGUAUACAACCUUGAUCGAUAGGUCUGGGUAAUCUUGUGAAUGCGCAUCGUGCUAGGGAUAGAUUGUUGCAAUUUUCAAUCUUGAACGAGGAAUUCCUAGUAAACGCAAGUCAUCAGCUUGCAUUGAUUACGUCCCUGCCCUUUGUACACACCGCCCGUCGCACCUACCGAUUGAGUGAUCCGGUGAAUAAUUCGGACUGCAGCAUUGUUCAGUUCCUGAACGUUGCAGCGGAAAGUUUAGUGAACCUUAUCACUUAGAGGAAGGAGAAGUCGUAACA
RNAcentral lists this ribosomal RNA (326 nucleotides) under uncultured eukaryote. RNAcentral's name for it is "partial 18S ribosomal RNA". It matches the Rfam family "Eukaryotic small subunit ribosomal RNA", at positions 1470 to 1796 of the family's 1831-position model. The record is from RNAcentral.